Molecule: ribosomal RNA, 253 nt
Filed under: uncultured bacterium
Lineage: Bacteria
Also listed under: 1 other name
Description: partial 16S ribosomal RNA
Rfam family: Bacterial small subunit ribosomal RNA
Source: RNAcentral
UACGAAGGGUGCUAGCGUUGUUCGGAAUGACUGGGCGUAAAGGGUGCGUAGGCGGCCAGAAGCGUCUGAUGUGAAAUCCCUGGGCUUAACCUAGGAACUGCAUUGGAUACGGUCUGGCUAGAGUCCGCGAGAGGAAGAUGGAAUUGUGCGUGUAGAGGUGAAAUUCGUAGAUAUGCACAAGAACACCGGUGGCGAAGGCGAUCUUCUGGAGCGGUACUGACGCUAAGGCACGAAAGUGUGGGGAGCAAACAGG